ACGUGAUCUGAGUUCAGACCGGAGUAAUCCAGGUCAGUUUCUAUCUAUAAAGAGCCUUUUCUAGUACGAAAGGACCGAAAAAGCAUGGCCAAUACUUCAUGCAAGCCAUCAUUAAUAACCUAUGACCAACACUUAAUUGGUAAUUUAUCUUCAACCCACCUCAAAAAAAGAGA
This 173-nucleotide ribosomal RNA is filed under the name Scinax flavoguttatus (yellowbelly snouted treefrog). RNAcentral's name for it is "partial 16S large subunit ribosomal RNA". The record is from RNAcentral. Lineage: Eukaryota; Metazoa; Chordata; Amphibia; Anura; Hylidae.